RNAcentral lists this ribosomal RNA (304 nucleotides) under uncultured bacterium. Its description in RNAcentral is "partial 16S ribosomal RNA". It matches the Rfam family "Bacterial small subunit ribosomal RNA", at positions 506 to 807 of the family's 1533-position model. The record is from RNAcentral.
CAGCAGCAGCCGCGGUAAUACGAAGGGUGCAAGCGUUAAUCGGAAUUACUGGGCGUAAAGCGCACGCAGGCGGUUUGUUAAGUCAGAUGUGAAAUCCCCGAGCUUAACUUGGGAACUGCAUUUGAAACUGGCAAGCUAGAGUCUUGUAGAGGGGGGUAGAAUUCCAGGCGUAGCGGUGAAAUGCGUAGAGAUCUGGAGGAAUACCGGUGGCGAAGGCGGCCCCCUGGACAAAGACUGACGCUCAGGUGCGAAAGCGUGGGGAGCAAACAGGAUUAGAUACCCCAGUAGUCCCUGUCUCUUAUAC